CCUACGGGCGGCAGCAGUGGGGAAUAUUGCACAAUGGGGGAAACCCUGAUGCAGCGACGCCGCGUGAGUGAUGAAGGUUUUCGGUAUGUAAAGCCCUUUUAGCAGGGAAGAUAAUGACGGUAUCUGAGUAAUAAGCCCCGGCUAACUCCGUGCCAGCAGCCGCGGUAAUACGUAGGGGGCAAGCGUUACCCGGAAUUACUGGGCGUAAAGGGAGCGUAGACGGCAGAGCAAGUCUGGAGUGAAAUCCUAGGGCUUAACCACAGGACUGCAUUUGAAACUGUUAGGCUGGAGUGUGGGAGAGGUAAGUGGAAUUCCUAGUGUAGCGGUGAAAUGCGUAGAGAUUAGGAGGAACACUAGUGGCGAAGGCGGCCUACUGGACUGUAACUGACGUUGAGGCGCGAAAGCGUGGGGAGCAAACAGGAUUAGAUACCCGUGUAGUC
RNAcentral lists this ribosomal RNA (440 nucleotides) under uncultured bacterium. RNAcentral describes it as "partial 16S ribosomal RNA". It matches the Rfam family "Bacterial small subunit ribosomal RNA", at positions 338 to 795 of the family's 1533-position model. The record is from RNAcentral.